Non-coding RNA from Ixodes scapularis (black-legged tick), 73 nucleotides. The record is from Rfam. Lineage: Eukaryota; Metazoa; Arthropoda; Arachnida; Ixodida; Ixodidae.
CCCUGGUUAGCUCAGUUAGUGGAGCGCUCCACCUGUAAUGGAGAGGUCCCGGGUUCGAUACCCGGACCAGGCG